RNAcentral lists this ribosomal RNA (492 nucleotides) under uncultured bacterium. RNAcentral's name for it is "partial 16S ribosomal RNA". It matches the Rfam family "Bacterial small subunit ribosomal RNA", at positions 29 to 507 of the family's 1533-position model. The record is from RNAcentral.
AGUGAACGCUGGCGGUAGGCCUAACACAUGCAAGUCGAACGGCAGCACAGUAAGAGCUUGCUCUUACGGGUGGCGAGUGGCGGACGAGUGAGGAAUACAUCGGAAUCUACUUUUUCGUGGGGGAUAACGUAGGGAAACUUACGCUAAUACCGCAUACGACCUACGGGUGAAAGCAGGGGAUCUUCGGACCUUGCGCGAUUGAAUGAGCCGAUGUCGGAUUAGCUAGUUGGCGGGGUAAAGGCCCACCAAGGCGACGAUCCGUAGCUGGUCUGAGAGGAUGAUCAGGCACACUUGAACUUAGACACGGUCCAGACUCCUACGGGAGGCAGCAGUGGGGAAUAUUGGACAAUGGGCGCAAGCCUGAUCCAGCCAUACCGCGUGGGUGAAGAAGGCCUUCGGGUUGUAAAGCCCUUUUGUUGGGAAAGAAAAGCAGCAGGUUAAUACCCCGCUGUUCUGACGGUACCCAAAGAAUAAGCACCGGCUAACUUCGUG